GAACUGUUGAAGAGUCCCAAACAAGGCGAAACAGUUGUCCAGUGC
RNAcentral lists this non-coding RNA (45 nucleotides) under Echinostoma caproni. The record is from RNAcentral. Lineage: Eukaryota; Metazoa; Platyhelminthes; Trematoda; Plagiorchiida; Echinostomatidae.